Molecule: ribosomal RNA, 465 nt
Filed under: uncultured bacterium
Lineage: Bacteria
Description: partial 16S ribosomal RNA
Rfam family: Bacterial small subunit ribosomal RNA
Source: RNAcentral
GAUGAACGCUGGCGGCGUGCUUAACACAUGCAAGUCGAACGGAAAGGCUCCUGCUUGCAGGGGUACUCGAGUGGCGAACGGGUGAGUAGCACGUGGGUGAUCUGCCCUGCACUUCGGGAUAAGCCUGGGAAACUGGGUCUAAUACCGGAUAGGACGAUGGUUUGGAUGCCAUUGUGGAAAGUUUUUUCGGUGUGGGAUGAGCUCGCGGCCUAUCAGCUUGUUGGUGGGGUAAUGGCCUACCAAGGCGUCGACGGGUAGCCGGCCUGAGAGGGUGUACGGCCACAUUGGGACUGAGAUACGGCCCAGACUCCUACGGGAGGCAGCAGUGGGGAAUAUUGCACAAUGGGCGCAAGCCUGAUGCAGCGACGCCGCGUGGGGGAUGACGGCCUUCGGGUUGUAAACUCCUUUCGCUAGGGACGAAGCGCAAGUGACGGUACCUGGAGAAGAAGCACCGGCUAACUACGU